RNAcentral lists this ribosomal RNA (537 nucleotides) under Triticum aestivum (bread wheat). RNAcentral's name for it is "partial small subunit ribosomal RNA". Lineage: Eukaryota; Viridiplantae; Streptophyta; Magnoliopsida; Poales; Poaceae. The record is from RNAcentral.
AUGGAAAGCCCUGUUGGUCGGCCAAAACUCGUUCGGGAACUGCCAGACCACACAGUCCCGUCUGGGUGUUUCGGUGUCGGUAUGACACCAUCGAGUUGGAGAUGCUCUAAUUUACUCUUUGGUUGGCUUUGGGCUUUCAGCAGCCGAAGGCUCCUCCGUUUUUUUUUCUUUUUUCUUUUUGCGGGGAUGGCUCCUCCGUUCUUUGCCUUUCCCUGUCUCCCUCUGCUUUUGCUGCCUCUUUUCUCACCACCAGCGCACCGCACCGCACCACGCCACGCCUUUGGCUUUGGUUCUUCCCCACCCGCCCACUUAACUCCUAAGCAAACGCUCCUCCUCCCCGCCUAUAAAUUGCGUCCCUCGUCCAAGCCCCAAUUCCCUUUUCCCUCUUUCUCUUUUCCCCUCUCUGGAAGGACUUGGAUUCUUUCUUUUCUCGCAGCAGCAACGCCACGCUGCUGCUCUUACUUCCUGUUGACCACAACCACCCUGCUCCCACCUUUCAAGUUUGAACCCUCUUUGCUUGGCAUCUACCACCUUUAG